Molecule: unclassified non-coding RNA, 345 nt
Filed under: Hevea brasiliensis (rubber tree)
Lineage: Eukaryota; Viridiplantae; Streptophyta; Magnoliopsida; Malpighiales; Euphorbiaceae
Source: RNAcentral
GAAACACAAAAUCACGCAUCUGCUGCUCUUGGAAACAAGGAAAAUGACAAAGAUUCUAAGCCUCUCCAGUCAAUUGUUAAAAUGGAGACAAUGUCCUCUAAAUCCGUCAAAAGAUUAAGAGAAUCUGAAACUCAAACAUUUGAAGUCAUUAACGAGACAAGUUCAAGAACCAUUGCAAAAGAAACUCUAGGCAAUUGGUCCCUAUCAAUGCACAAUCCUUGUGAAAAUGUCAAAACUCCCUUCCAGGAUCCUUUGGAUUUUGGCAAGACUCAUCCAUAUGACAUUGGUCACCGCACUGUUGCAUCGAGGCCUUUGAUAGAUAAUCCAAGUCACUUAGCAUCUCAU